AAGGAUGGGUAAGGAGUAAAAAGUCAAGAAGUUGAGAAUUUUUGAGCAUAUUUGCAGCAGGCCCAAAUGAUUCAAGAUACUUGUGGGUUGAAAAGCAGGGUGGAAGAAUGUCGCGCUUUUCAAAUUUGGUUAAGAAUCGAGUAAGCUCGAUGUAGGAAUUAAAAUAUAGAACAGAACCAUCUUGAUAGGGAUAGUUCGGA
RNAcentral lists this long non-coding RNA (200 nucleotides) under Nicotiana benthamiana. Its description in RNAcentral is "long non-coding RNA (NBEN_LNC029186)". The record is from RNAcentral. Lineage: Eukaryota; Viridiplantae; Streptophyta; Magnoliopsida; Solanales; Solanaceae.